CAGAUCAGGGCCUACCUUUAUUGUACAAAGUGCUGAUUUCUGCUGCUGCUGGAUCUCUGUUGAUCGUAGCUGCAGUCUUGUGGUACUGCUUCUAACUGGAAACAUAAACAAAUAGGUCAGAAAACCGUGAUCCAUGAGAUAUAUGAAAAUGAUUCAACUCUGCCCAACCCAAAACCACGAAAAACGAAAUCAAAGGAGCCUGUGUACGGAAAUAUCGACAGAAAUAAUCAGAAAUGAUCAAAUAUAUUUUAGAGCUGAUAUGGACCCCUGACUCGUACGUUUUAGUUCACAUUUAUUCUCUGCCAGGAUGUUUUUCAUCUAUCUUUGUUUUGUUGUCGCUCUUGUGUCACAUUAAAGACUUUUUUUUUCACA
Long non-coding RNA from Cyprinus carpio (common carp), 372 nucleotides. RefSeq lists it as uncharacterized. The record is from RefSeq and is a predicted model, not a curated record. NCBI's taxonomy places the organism in Eukaryota, Metazoa, Chordata, Actinopteri, Cypriniformes, Cyprinidae. The transcript has 3 exons.